UAAGGUGAGUCUAAGCUCUUGUUCUCACUACGCUAUCUAACUAAGGUAUAGUUGAUAGGGUUUAGCUUGCGGUGUCGGCAUCACCUGCCCAAGGACCUAUCUCUUUGUUAAUGCUGGAUCGCAUCUUUCCAUUAGGCCAAUCAACUAAGUUGAUAUCCAUCAACGAAGGGUGGUUCGAUAGUAGACUCAUUAUCUCACGUCCUCAUGUACACUAGUGUAAUACUUGUAGAGAUCUCUAUAUGGAUUGGAUUUGACAUUGAGGCGUCCCCCAACGAUAAUCACAAUUCAGACUUCAUGAGACGGAUUUGAGUAUCACUGAUCAAUGGAUCAGGUUGUGCCAAUCUCGCUUUCUUCCUAGUGCGAGAAUAUAUUGAACCUAAGGGCCUCCCUCCUUUUAGGGAGCCACACGGCCUUGUGACACCAAUUUUGCCACUAUAUGGCGUCACCAUAUCACCAUCCAUGGUGAUGGCGCCAAGACCAACUUCUUUUGGUCGCGCCAUGUCCUUUUGUAGGACAUCAAUCCUUGCAGACAUAUUUGCAGCAUGUGAUCUCGUCGCUUUAACACUAUAAGCAUUUGGGAUCAAGAUGAGACUUAGUGGGGACAAACCACGACAAUUCACGUCGUUCCACUUGAACACUUGUGUUCUUAUCUCCCCCUAACGGCGGGAAUAUUGUCUCAUCAAAGUGACAAUCCGCAAUUUAGCGGUGAAUGAGAUCGCCUGACAAGGUUUCUACAUAUGUGGAUUAUAGGUGGAGGUUCAUAUCCAACCUAAACUUAUUCAUCUCAAAUGACCAAUCAUUGUACGCAAUGGCAAUGCGAUUUGGCAUCUAGAAAUAACAUCUAGCCGAGCUCAAGGAUUGGAGAUCCGUUUCAAUCUUGCCGAGCUCAAGGAUUGCAAUUUCGUGUCAAUCCUGGUACACAGUCACGAGCUGUAGUACAACAAAAUUCAAUGAUGGUGGGUCGUAUAUGAAUAGUAAAGCUGCAUGCAAAUAUUGCAUAACCCCAAGACGCAAUAGAAAGA
This 1022-nucleotide long non-coding RNA is filed under the name Fragaria vesca (wild strawberry). RNAcentral's name for it is "long non-coding RNA (FVES_LNC004940)". The record is from RNAcentral. Lineage: Eukaryota; Viridiplantae; Streptophyta; Magnoliopsida; Rosales; Rosaceae.